GAUUCGUCACACUAUCAUUAACUGAAUCCAUAGGUUAAUGAGGCGAACCGGGGGAACUGAAACAUCUAAGUACCCCGAGGAAAAGAAAUCAACCGAGAUUCCCCCAGUAGCGGCGAGCGAACGGGGAGGAGCCCAGAGCCUGAAUCAGCAUGUGUGUUAGUGGAAGCGUCUGGAAAGGCGCGCGAUACAGGGUGACAGCCCCGUACACAAAAGCGCAUGUGCUGUGAGCUCGAUGAGUAGGGCGGGACACGUGGUAUCCUGUCUGAAUAUGGGGGGACCAUCCUCCAAGGCUAAAUACUCCUGACUGACCGAUAGUGAACCAGUACCGUGAGGGAAAGGCGAAAAGAACCCCGGCGAGGGGAGUGAAAAAGAACCUGAAACCGUGUACGUACAAGCAGUGGGAGCACAGGUUUACCUGUGUGACUGCGUACCUUUUGUAUAAUG
Molecule: ribosomal RNA, 444 nt
Filed under: Salmonella enterica subsp. enterica serovar Derby
Lineage: Bacteria; Pseudomonadati; Pseudomonadota; Gammaproteobacteria; Enterobacterales; Enterobacteriaceae
Description: partial 23S ribosomal RNA
Rfam family: Bacterial large subunit ribosomal RNA
Source: RNAcentral